Mytilus californianus (California mussel) is the source of this 1333-nucleotide long non-coding RNA. RefSeq lists it as uncharacterized. The transcript is spliced from 2 exons. The record is from RefSeq and is a predicted model, not a curated record. Lineage: Eukaryota; Metazoa; Mollusca; Bivalvia; Mytilida; Mytilidae.
AAUAAAAUGCUUCGCUGGGCGCAGCUUGAUACGACCGCAGAGGUCGAACCCUGAACAGUUGGGGCAAGUAUGGACACAACAUUCAAGCUUGAUACAGCUCUGAAUUUGGAUUGUGAUUAAAAAUUUGACACAGCAUAGGUUUCUGACACAGAAAGAAUGUGGUCUAAGAACUUGAAUUUUCUUAAUUUACCUAUUAUGGUCCAAUGUCCAAAAUCAAAAUACAUAUUUAGAUUCAGCAUAUCAAAGAACCCCAUAUAUUCAAUUUUUGUUGAAAUCAAACAAAGUUUAAUUUUGGACCUCAACUUGGACAAACUUAAAAACUGGGCCCAUAAUCAAAAAUCUAAACACAUGUUUAGAUUCAGCAUAUCAAAGAACCCCAAGAAUUCAAUUUUUGUUAAAAUCAAACUAAGUUUAAUUUUGGACCCUUUGGACCUUAAUGUAGACCAAUUUAAAAAACGGGACCCAAAAUUAAAAAUCUAAAUACACGGUUAGAUUUGGAAUAUCAAAGAAACCCUAAUAAUUCAAUUUUUGAUGAAAUCAAAAAAAGUUUAAUUUUGGACCCUUUUGACCUCAAUAUGAACCAAUUUGAUAGCAGGGCCCACAAAUAAAAAAUCUAAAUACAUGGUUAGAUUCAGCAUAUCAAAGAACCCCAUAUAUUCAAUUUUCGUUGAAAUCAAAAAAAGUUUUAUUUUGGACCCCAACUUGGACCAACUUGAAAACUGAGCCCAUAAUCAAAAAUCUAAACACAUGUUUAGAUUCAGCAUAUCAAAGAACCCCAAGAAUUCAAUUUUUGUUAAAAUCAAACUAAGUUUAAUUUUGGACCCUUUGGACCUUAAUGUAGACCAAUUGAAAAAACGGGACCCAAAAUUUAAAAAAUCUAAAUACACGGUUAGAUUUGGCAUAUCAAAGAACCCCAAUAAUUCAAUUUUUGAUGAAAUCAAACAAAGUUUAAUUUUGGACCCUUUUGACCUCAAUAUGAACCAAUUUGAUAGCGGGCCCACAAAUAAAAAAUCUAAAUACAUGGUUAGAUUCAGCAUAUCAAAGAACCCCAUAUAUUCAAUUUUUGUUGAAAUCAAACAAAGUUUAAUUUUGGACCCCAAUUUGGACCAACUUGAAAACUGGGCCAAAAAUCAAAAAUCUAAAUACAUGUUUAGAUUCAGCAUAUCAAAGAACCCCAUAUAUUCAAUUUUUGUUAAAAUCAAACAAAGUUUAAUUUUGGACCCUUUGGACCUUAAUGUAGACCAAUUUGAAAACUGGACCCAAAAUUAAAAAUCUAAAUACACAGUUAGAUUCGGCAUAACAAAUAAAUAAAUGUGGUCAAAGAUUUUACAAA